ACUCAUGAAUGCAUGUCAAUCUCCAAGCAAAUCAGUGGCUGCUACAUGCACAGGAUAUCCCGUGCAUGAUAGACAUGCCUUUCUCAGCAAGAGGAACUACAUGGUGAGAAGUUCCUGCACACAUAAAAGGAGAAGUUUGCAGGAAAUAGCAAACAUGUGACAAGAGGCUUUCCACGUAUGUGUGGUGCAUAAAUUAUUUGGAAUCAAACUGUUGAGCUGUACUAUAACAUUAAGCCAUUGAGGGAUCAUGAUUUAGUGGCUUGACUGCUUCAUUUGUUAAACACUAAACUUUCAUCCUAAAAUGCAAUUCUUUCAUCUGAUAGGUACAUAACAGAAGUUGAAGCAAUACACUUCAUCCCUUGGUCUUACAUUAAGAUCAGCAGAGACUGGAGCAGUCACACUUGCAAAGCUUCAGGGUAAAAGGCGAAAGAAUCACACCAGAUUUAACAUUAUAUCCAGAUCUCCUUAUCGGGUCUGUCUUUAUGAGCAGAUGGCUACUUUCUUGUUUACCAUGCAUAAAAAAACAG
RNAcentral lists this long non-coding RNA (527 nucleotides) under Hordeum vulgare. RNAcentral's name for it is "long non-coding RNA (HVUL_LNC019761)". Lineage: Eukaryota; Viridiplantae; Streptophyta; Magnoliopsida; Poales; Poaceae. The record is from RNAcentral.